UUUCAUUAAUGGUGCUAUGAGCAAAGUGUUGUCGUCGAUUUUUUGUGCGGCAAAGAGAAACAAAGCAUUAAUAAACAUAACUGCAUACUCAGAAAUAAGCUAUUGUUUUUCUUUUGAGAAUUACAAAAAAAUGUUGCACAAAUAUCAAUUUUUCUGAUGUACAUAGACGCACCAGUGGGAAGAUGUAUAAUUUUCAUAAAAAUGAAUUAAAUCUCGAUGGACCAGAUUCUUUGAAUUAUUACUGAUAUGAUCUAAAGAAAUCCGAAAGAUUUUCUACCAAUCACAACUUUGCAAGAGGAUCUUGCUGACGGUUUGUACAGCUUUCAAUUUCUAAGGAAGGAUAUGUAAAAUGUUUGGGACUAUGAAUCUAUCUUUUUAUUGGAUGAACUGUCAAUCAUCUGUUUGGGACAGCAGCCCGCCAAUUUUUUACCAGGACAAUGCUGCCAUACAUGUUUGCCGUGACAGUCGGUAUUGGUUUCAGAAGGAGGAGAACGAACUAUUGAGGAUGUUUGAUAUUACUUACAUAUUUCAUGAGUUGCGCCACCAUUCCGUUCCAUUCGCCUGAAAAUGGAUCUUGUGCGCCAUAUUUUCGAUCGGGCACUAGGUCAAGAAUGUAAUCAAAUCCAACAUCACGCGCUAUCAACUCCAGUAUGUCUACACAAAACCCAAAGAACCUCUCAUUUCCUGUGUAAUUUUUACCAUAGUGCAUCAUCACAUAAGGCGUUUCCUUUAACGACAACAUAAAAAUAAUUUUAGUGCUUUUUUAACUUAUAUUUUAAAUAAUUCAACAAUGCCACAAUGUCAGUAAAUAAAUUUUCCUCACCAAUAUUGUAAUUACAA
Molecule: long non-coding RNA, 840 nt
Organism: Zeugodacus cucurbitae (melon fly)
Lineage: Eukaryota; Metazoa; Arthropoda; Insecta; Diptera; Tephritidae
Exons: 2
Source: RefSeq, a predicted model, not a curated record